AAGUCGUAACAAGGUUUCCGUAGGUGAACCUGCGGAAGGAUCAUUAGUGAACGCCCCUCGGGGCUUAUCCAACCAACCUCUGUGAACUGUGGCCCUCGGGCCUUUUUACAAACAUUGAACGUCAUGAACGUAGUAAUCUAUAACAAAACAAAACUUUCAACAACGGAUCUCUUGGCUCUC
RNAcentral lists this unclassified non-coding RNA (180 nucleotides) under fungal sp. RNAcentral describes it as "partial internal transcribed spacer region". The stretch from base 1 to 46 matches the Rfam family "Eukaryotic small subunit ribosomal RNA", at positions 1786 to 1831 of the family's 1831-position model. Lineage: Eukaryota; Fungi. The record is from RNAcentral.